AGUGAACGCUGGCGGUAGGCCUAACACAUGCAAGUCGAACGGCAGCACAGUAAGAGCUUGCUCUUACGGGUGGCGAGUGGCGGACGGGUGAGGAAUACAUCGGAAUCUACUUUUUCGUGGGGGAUAACGUAGGGAAACUUACGCUAAUACCGCAUACGACCUACGGGUGAAAGCAGGGGAUCUUCGGACCUUGCGCGAUUGAAUGAGCCGAUGUCGGAUUAGCUAGUUGGGGGGGUAAAGGCCCACCAAGGCGACGAUCCGUAGCUGGUCUGAGAGGAUGGUCAGCCACACUGGAACUGAGACACGGUCCAGACUCCUACGGGAGGCAGCAGUGGGGAAUAUUGGACAAUGGGCGCAAGCCUGAUCCAGCCAUACCGCGUGGGUGAAGAAGGCCUUCGGGUUGUAAAGCCCUUUUGUUGGGAAAGAAAAGCAGCAGGUUAAUACCCCGCUGUUCUGACGGUACCCAAAGAAUAAGCACCGGCUAACUUCGUG
This 492-nucleotide ribosomal RNA is filed under the name uncultured bacterium. RNAcentral's name for it is "partial 16S ribosomal RNA". It matches the Rfam family "Bacterial small subunit ribosomal RNA", at positions 29 to 507 of the family's 1533-position model. The record is from RNAcentral.